AUACUUGUAUAUAUAUCGAGGUAGCAGUUAAGUAUGCGACUAGAUUUAGUAUCUCUGAAAAGUUCAAGAAUCGCGUUUCGACUGCAUUUAAUUGGCAACAAAUGGCGGCCAGAAUGCCAAAGCCAAAUGCACAAUUUGGCCAUGCCAUAAGCCUAACCAACGAAGCCUGGCUUGGGGACCAACUGCUCUUUAACUUGUUUAUAUAUAUAUAUAUAUAGAUUUAUAUGCGAAUAUAAUUAGUAAUUACUUUGGCUAAUUGCUUGCAGAAUUGUUAACACUUGGUUGGCUUUCGAUCCAAUUGCAACUACAUCGAACAAUAACAAUAAAACUCCAUGCUACGUUUACGUUUAAUAUGUAAUAUUCUUGCUUCCAAUGUUGAGUUUACUUUGUAAUACUUUAAUUUUAAUUACUUUAUAAUAAUAUACGUAUUGGUCCAAGGUC
Drosophila yakuba is the source of this 441-nucleotide long non-coding RNA. RefSeq lists it as uncharacterized. NCBI's taxonomy places the organism in Eukaryota, Metazoa, Arthropoda, Insecta, Diptera, Drosophilidae. The transcript is spliced from 2 exons. The record is from RefSeq and is a predicted model, not a curated record.